GGGUGAGUAACACGUGGGCAAUCUGCCCUGCACUCUGGGACAAGCCCUGGAAACGGGGUCUAAUACCGGAUACUGACCCGCUUGGGCAUCCAAGCGGUUCGAAAGCUCCGGCGGUGCAGGAUGAGCCCGCGGCCUAUCAGCUUGUUGGUGAGGUAAUGGCUCACCAAGGCGACGACGGGUAGCCGGCCUGAGAGGGCGACCGGCCACACUGGGACUGAGACACGGCCCAGACUCCUACGGGAGGCAGCAGUGGGGAAUAUUGCACAAUGGGCGAAAGCCUGAUGCAGCGACGCCGCGUGAGGGAUGACGGCCUUCGGGUUGUAAACCUCUUUCAGCAGGGAAGAAGCGAAAGUGACGGUACCUGCAGAAGAAGCGCCGGCUAACUACGUGCCAGCAGCCGCGGUAAUACGUAGGGCGCGAGCGUUGUCCGGAAUUAUUGGGCGUAAAGAGCUCGUAGGCGGCUUGUCACGUCGGUUGUGAAAGCCCGGGGCUUAACCCCGGGUCUGCAGUCGAUACGGGCAGGCUAGAGUUCGGUAGGGGAGAUCGGAAUUCCUGGUGUAGCGGUGAAAUGCGCAGAUAUCAGGAGGAACACCGGUGGCGAAGGCGGAUCUCUGGGCCGAUACUGACGCUGAGGAGCGAA
Molecule: ribosomal RNA, 640 nt
Rfam family: Bacterial small subunit ribosomal RNA